This 445-nucleotide ribosomal RNA is filed under the name uncultured bacterium. RNAcentral describes it as "partial 16S ribosomal RNA". It matches the Rfam family "Bacterial small subunit ribosomal RNA", at positions 354 to 796 of the family's 1533-position model. The record is from RNAcentral.
GUGAGGAAUAUUGGUCAAUGGACGGAAGUCUGAACCAGCCAUGCCGCGUGCAGGAAUAAGGUCCUAUGGAUUGUAAACUGCUUUUAUUCGGGAAUAAACCUCUUUACGUGUAGGGAGCUGAAGGUACCGAAGGAAUAAGCACCGGCUAACUCCGUGCCAGCAGCCGCGGUAAUACGGAGGGUGCAAGCGUUAUCCGGAAUCAUUGGGUUUAAAGGGUCCGCAGGCGGGCUAUCAAGUCAGAGGUGAAAUCCCACAGCUUAACUGUGGAAUUGCCUUUGAAACUGAUGGUCUUGAAUUAAGUGGGCGUUGGCGGAAUAUGACAUGUAGCGGUGAAAUGCAUAGAUAUGUCAUGGAACACCGAAAGCGAAGGCAGCUAACGAUACUUAUAUUGACGCUCAUGGACGAAAGCGUGGGUAGCGAACAGGAUUAGAAACCCUGGUAGUCC